This 442-nucleotide ribosomal RNA is filed under the name uncultured Bryobacterales bacterium. RNAcentral's name for it is "bacterial SSU rRNA". It matches the Rfam family "Bacterial small subunit ribosomal RNA", at positions 337 to 796 of the family's 1533-position model. Lineage: Bacteria; Pseudomonadati; Acidobacteriota; Terriglobia; Bryobacterales. The record is from RNAcentral.
UCCUACGGGCGGCUGCAGUGGGGAAUCUUGCACAAUGGGGGAAACCCUGAUGCAGCGACGCCGCGUGGGUGAUGAAGUCCUUCGGGAUGUAAAGCCCUUUCGACAGGAACGAUAAUGACGGUACCUGGAGAAGAAGCUGCGGCUAACUACGUGCCAGCAGCCGCGGUAAUACGUAGGCAGCAAGCGUUGUUCGGAGUUACUGGGCGUAAAGAGUAUGUAGGCGGUUGGGUAAGUUUGGUGUGAAAUCUCCCGGCUUAACUGGGAGGGUGCGCCGAAAACUGCCUGGCUCGAGUGCGGGAGAGGGGAGCGGAAUUCCUGGUGUAGCGGUGAAAUGCGUAGAUAUCAGGAGGAACACCUGCGGUGUAGACGGCUCCCUGGACCGUGACUGACGCUGAGAUACGAAAGCGUGGGUAGCAAACAGGAUUAGAUACCCGGGUAGUCA